This 93-nucleotide transfer RNA is filed under the name Dactylonectria estremocensis. Its description in RNAcentral is "Ilyonectria sp. 3 AC-2011 tRNA". It matches the Rfam family "tRNA". From Rfam's summary of the family: Transfer RNA (tRNA) molecules are approximately 80 nucleotides in length. Their secondary structure includes four short double-helical elements and three loops (D, anti-codon, and T loops). The record is from Rfam by way of RNAcentral. Lineage: Eukaryota; Fungi; Ascomycota; Sordariomycetes; Hypocreales; Nectriaceae.
GGGGAUUUGGUCUAGGGGUAUGACGUUUGUUUUGCAUUGUCUCAGCGACUGAUGGCCUACAAAAGGUCGGGGGUUCAAUUCCCUCAAUCUCCA